AGAUCGUUAUGACUUAGAUCUUGACAAGAUUUGAGAGCCACAAAGUCAACAUUGAGGAAGAAAACUUGUUAGAUGGUCUAAACAAGGAUUUAGUGGGAGCUGUUCAUGAUCUUAUUGGUACUGAUGCACUACUUAGAGCGUCAGACACAUCCAAUAAGAGCAGUAUUGAAGAUUAUGCAGAAAUGCAAGAUUCUUCAAUACGGGGGGGAGAUGUGACAUUGGAUGUCGAAGAUUCUUCAUCAUGAUAUAACAUACCAACUUCCUCAAGUUCAGAAUAACGAAGAGCCUGC
Molecule: long non-coding RNA, 290 nt
Filed under: Salvia miltiorrhiza (redroot sage)
Lineage: Eukaryota; Viridiplantae; Streptophyta; Magnoliopsida; Lamiales; Lamiaceae
Description: long non-coding RNA (SMIL_LNC010696)
Source: RNAcentral